CAGUCGCCGCGGUAAUACGAAGGGGGCUAGCGUUGUUCGGAUUUACUGGGCGUAAAGCGCACGUAGGCGGACUUUUAAGUCAGGGGUGAAAUCCCGGGGCUCAACCCCGGAACUGCCUUUGAUACUGGAAGUCUUGAGUAUGGUAGAGGUGAGUGGAAUUCCGAGUGUAGAGGUGAAAUUCGUAGAUAUUCGGAGGAACACCAGUGGCGAAGGCGGCUCACUGGACCAUUACUGACGCUGAGGAGCGAAAGCAUGGGGAGCGAACAGGAUUAGAUACCCCCGUAGUCCCUGUCUCUUAUAC
Molecule: ribosomal RNA, 301 nt
Filed under: uncultured bacterium
Lineage: Bacteria
Description: partial 16S ribosomal RNA
Rfam family: Bacterial small subunit ribosomal RNA
Source: RNAcentral